This 772-nucleotide ribosomal RNA is filed under the name uncultured bacterium. RNAcentral's name for it is "bacterial SSU rRNA". It matches the Rfam family "Bacterial small subunit ribosomal RNA", at positions 8 to 796 of the family's 1533-position model. The record is from RNAcentral.
AGAGUUUGAUCCUGGCUCAGAACGAACGCUGGCGGCGUGCCUAACACAUGCAAGUCGAGCGCGAAGGCUCCUUCGGGAGCCGGAGAGCGGCAGACGGGUGAGUAACACGUGGGCAACCUGUCCCUGAGUGGGGGAUAACCACUCGAAAGGGUGGCUAAUACCGCAUAAGACCACGGCCUUUUGGGGCGGAGGUCAAAGGCGCAAGCCGCUUGGGGAGGGGCCCGCGGCCGAUUAGCUAGUUGGUAGGGUAACGGCCUACCAAGGCGACGAUCGGUAGCUGGUCUGAGAGGAUGAUCAGCCACACUGGUACUGAGACACGGACCAGACUCCUACGGGAGGCAGCAGUGGGGAAUAUUGCGCAAUGGGCGAAAGCCUGACGCAGCAACGCCGCGUGGGUGAUGAAGGCCUUCGGGUCGUAAAGCCCUGUCAGGUGGGACGAAGCAAGUGACGGUACCACCGAAGGAAGCACCGGCUAACUCCGUGCCAGCAGCCGCGGUAAUACGGAGGGUGCAAGCGUUGUUCGGAAUCACUGGGCGUAAAGGGCGCGUAGGCGGCCGCACAAGUCCGAUGUGAAAGCCCGGGGCUCAACCCCGGAAGUGCAUUGGAAACUGUGCGGCUUGAGUUCGGGAGAGGAAGGCAGAAUUCCCGGUGUAGGGUUGAAAUCCGUAGAUAUCGGGAGGAAAACCGGUGGCGAAGGCGGCCUUCUGGAACGAAACUGACGCUGAGGCGCGAAAGCGUGGGGAGCAAACAGGAUUAGAUACCCUGGUAGUCC